RNAcentral lists this ribosomal RNA (466 nucleotides) under uncultured bacterium. RNAcentral's name for it is "partial 16S ribosomal RNA". It matches the Rfam family "Bacterial small subunit ribosomal RNA", at positions 28 to 507 of the family's 1533-position model. The record is from RNAcentral.
GACGAACGCUGGCGGCGCGCCUAACACAUGCAAGUCGAACGAGCGAGAGAGAGCUUGCUUUCUCAAGCGAGUGGCGAACGGGUGAGUAACGCGUGAGGAACCUGCCUCAAAGAGGGGGACAACAGUUGGAAACGACUGCUAAUACCGCAUAAGCCCACAGGUCGGCAUCGACCAGAGGGAAAGGGAGCAAUCCGCUUUGAGAUGGCCUCGCGUCCGAUUAGCUAGUUGGUGAAGUAACGGCCCACCAAGGCAACGAUCGGUAGCCGGACUGAGAGGUUGAACGGCCACAUUGGGACUGAGACACGGCCCAGACUCCUACGGGAGGCAGCAGUGGGGAAUAUUGCACAAUGGGGGAAACCCUGAUGCAGCGACGCCGCGUGGAGGAAGAAGGUCUUCGGAUUGUAAACUCCUGUUGUUGAGGAAGAUAAUGACGGUACUCAACAAGGAAGUGACGGCUAACUACGUG